ACCUGGGCUACACACGUGCUACAAUGGGCGGUACAAAGGGUCGCGAACCCGCAGGGGGAGCCAAUCCCAAAAAGCCGCUCUCAGUUCGGAUUGCAGGCUGCAACUCGCCUGCAUGAAGCCGGAAUCGCUAGUAAUCGCGGACCAGCAUGCCGCGGUGAAUACGUUCCCGGGCCUU
Molecule: ribosomal RNA, 175 nt
Filed under: uncultured Anoxybacillus sp.
Lineage: Bacteria; Bacillati; Bacillota; Bacilli; Caryophanales; Anoxybacillaceae
Description: partial 16S ribosomal RNA
Rfam family: Bacterial small subunit ribosomal RNA
Source: RNAcentral